RNAcentral lists this long non-coding RNA (387 nucleotides) under Physcomitrium patens. RNAcentral describes it as "long non-coding RNA (PPAT_LNC014502)". The record is from RNAcentral. Lineage: Eukaryota; Viridiplantae; Streptophyta; Bryopsida; Funariales; Funariaceae.
GUUAUUAAAAGUUGUUAAUUAUAGAAUUAUGGUUAGAAUCUGGAGAAUCAGGAGAAAAUAUAUAGGAAUUAUAGAAGUUAAUUAGGGUGCCAUCGCUAUGAUAGUUGUGAGCCGAGAUAAGCUUCGUACUACCUCUUUUUUUUUGUUUGUUAUUUUCUUUGAAUAAGAAGAUUGAGAGUUUCUAAAUAUUGUGAAGUGAAUUAUGGAAUGGAAAUGUGAUUGGUAUUAUUUGAGAAGAAGAAAGAUUGAAUGCUGAAAUCUGAUUGUAGUUCAGUAAAAGAGAAUGAGUUUGUGUUUGUGUGAAACACCGUAAUGUGAAUGGCAGUUCUGUGUGAAGAAUUCCAGUGAUUGGAAUGAGGGUAAUUGUGUGCUGAAAGCUAUGAGGGC